GGGCAUGUAGCUCAGUGGCAGAGUACUUGCCUAGUAUGCAUGAAGCCCUGGGUUUGAAUUCUAGCAACCCA
Ictidomys tridecemlineatus (thirteen-lined ground squirrel) is the source of this 71-nucleotide non-coding RNA. Lineage: Eukaryota; Metazoa; Chordata; Mammalia; Rodentia; Sciuridae. The record is from Rfam.